RNAcentral lists this ribosomal RNA (559 nucleotides) under Klebsiella pneumoniae. RNAcentral's name for it is "partial 23S ribosomal RNA". It matches the Rfam family "Bacterial large subunit ribosomal RNA", at positions 1271 to 1816 of the family's 2925-position model. Lineage: Bacteria; Pseudomonadati; Pseudomonadota; Gammaproteobacteria; Enterobacterales; Enterobacteriaceae. The record is from RNAcentral.
UGCUGGAGGUAUCAGAAGUGCGAAUGCUGACAUAAGUAACGAUAAAGCGGGUGAAAAGCCCGCUCGCCGGAAGACCAAGGGUUCCUGUCCAACGUUAAUCGGGGCAGGGUGAGUCGACCCCUAAGGCGAGGCCGAAAGGCGUAGUCGAUGGGAAACAGGUUAAUAUUCCUGUACUUGGUGUUACUGCGAAGGGGGGACGGAGAAGGCUAUGUUAGCCGGGCGACGGUUGUCCCGGUUUAAGCAUGUAGGCUGAUUGUCCAGGCAAAUCCGGAUAAUCAAGGCUGAGGUGUGAUGACGAGGCACUACGGUGCUGAAGUAACAAAUGCCCUGCUUCCAGGAAAAGCCUCUAAGCAUCAGGUAACAUCAAAUCGUACCCCAAACCGACACAGGUGGUCAGGUAGAGAAUACCAAGGCGCUUGAGAGAACUCGGGUGAAGGAACUAGGCAAAAUGGUGCCGUAACUUCGGGAGAAGGCACGCUGGUGUGUAGGUGAAGCCCCUGCGGAUGGAGCUGAGACCAGUCGAAGAUACCAGCUGGCUGCAACUGUUUAUUAAAAACAC